Molecule: long non-coding RNA, 2277 nt
Organism: Stomoxys calcitrans (stable fly)
Lineage: Eukaryota; Metazoa; Arthropoda; Insecta; Diptera; Muscidae
Exons: 3
Source: RefSeq, a predicted model, not a curated record
CCAUCAUGGGUGUGACUGUUGCUGUUGUUGUGGCCAUUGCCAUUGCCGAGGCUGCUGCUGUGGUCGUAAUGGCUGUCGCCAUGUUGGUUACUGUGGUUGUUGUUGUUGCCAUAGCCGAUGUGGUCGGAUCAGGAACCUCACUAGUGUAACUAUUUGCUCUGGUAUUGACCAUUAAACCUACUCCAACCUAUAACCUAUACUACUAAUUAAACUUGAUGACAAUUCCAAAUUACCAAAUUCAGCCAACUCAAACUCUAAAUACACUAAUUAUGUCUUCUUCUUUAAACGCAGAUAUGAAAACCAAAAUUCACAAACAAGGUAGAAAGUGUAGUGCAUAUAUCCUACUAUAAGGUGGGGAACAAGUGAGAGAAGAGCAAAUCUAAGCGGAUAAGCGAAGCAUUCUAAGUUUCCAAAUAGGACUUCUCCAAACGUAUCCGGAAACUGCUUUCUCUGCCGUAAUGUAUUGUAUGACCCUGAGAUGCUGUAGUAUAUUGGUAUUACGUUUGCUACCUACGGACAUAACCACACGGCUGUUGUUGAAAACAUAAAGAUAAACCCAACAACGUCUCAUGUGCUUUGGCUCAUGGGUAUGAUUGUAUUAAGCGGACGGACAGGCCCGUCGCAAACGAAAUGCGGAUACCAAAAUCCUUAAACUUCGUGACUUACGGGAGUUAAAGAUUAGUAAAACACCGUGCCACAUCCUGCAUCUAACCAGCUUCCAGUCACCACCAGUUUGGCACGCGAUCCAAGCUUUUGAAAACUUACGAUCGGGACUCAAUCCGGUAACCGAAAUCCGAUCAGUUGCUGGCUGUGGCGAUAAAAUGAUGCGGUCAACCCGAUAACUCGGGCCCCAUGUUGCGGGCGCCAUUCUUGUCGUGGACCCCGGAGUGUCCGAACUGUCUCAGCGGAGAAAGGGGACAUAGUGUGCUGGCGAGCGCUGGCUGUUGGCGUUAGAGCUCCGGCUGUGGCUCAGUCUGGGGCGCGGUUCUUGCCAACACGCCAUGUCCAGAGACAGGUGACCAAAAAUUCAAAUUUCAAACCAGCUCUGGAUGGAAAUGAAAAACACAGGGUCCCACUUAUGUUAAGGCAGGCAUGUCUUUCGCCUUCUUACUCGCACCUUCCGCUAUGGAUUCGCUCUUCAGGGGGCACUGAGACAUCCUACAGUGCCCUGGACGGCCCACCCCAACCAUGGUAUCCGUUGUCCAACAGUUUUGGAUACCCCAGAAUCGUCUCCCCGUUCCCCCUCUACAGCAUGGUGCACUACCCCUUCCUUACCUUAAUGAUCUACUCUUCCAUAGCGAAAUGAGAAUACUAAGCCAAGUGGAAUUUCAUUUCUACGUUAUAAAAGAAAAGUGCCUUUGUUGCGUCUGUCAGAUCGCCGGACUGGAAUGCUUCGACGACGGCUCCCCUGGAUAGCAAGACAAUUUGGUAGCGGAGGUGCCCUGGAUUUCCCUUUUUAUGUUCUUGGUAAGUAUGUAUAGGUAGUUCGUGUAAUGUCUUACCCUCAAUAAAAAUAUAUAAUUUCUUGUUUUUCUUUUUUUUUCUUUUAGCCAACCUGCAGGGACAACAUUAAACGACCAAAGGGUCUUUUAUUUAAAGUGUAUUCCUAGUGCCCUAGAAUGAGCUCACCCUACUUCCUAGGUUGUAUCGUCCGUUCAAUCACCGGACUGCAGAUAUGAAACCCAAUGUCUACCCUGUUUGCUGCCUAAGUUAUUCUGUUUUCUUUUUUUUUUUUAUUUCUUAUAUUUUUAUUCCAGGAUGUGUGUCAAGCUAAGUUUCUCUGUGUAUCGUUCUAAGUAUUGAACAUAUAAAAAGGAGCAUACAUCGGCCUACCUUGGCACCUACGGGCUGCUGGUGCAAAAUUCCCUCGGGGACACUGGAGCAGAUGGCGGCGGUGGAACCAAUGAUGAAGCUGGAGAUGCUGAUGAGAUGAUGAUGUUGUUGAGGAUGGAAAUGUUGACGUUGCCGUGGAUGACGAUGGUUAAAAUUGCAGUAGAGGUGGGUAUUUAUUAUUUGACAAAAAGUUUUUGUUGUUCUGUUUAGUCUUUGCUAUGUUUUAUUCGUGGCUCAAAUUAACGUUCUUUUUCAAAGCUUUUUAUAUUUCACAGGAUCUUUUUUCUUUAGCAUUAAUCAGCACUAAUAAGUUUAUUUAGCUUUAAGUUGAUCUAAAGUAACUUCAGCUUUUUUACUACAAAAGCUAGUCUUUAUUCCUUUCACAAAAAAAAGGAACAUUUAUUUGCUUUUAAAUAAAAAACUUUAUGCCUUUGGCAUCACAUA